RNAcentral lists this unclassified non-coding RNA (1325 nucleotides) under Leishmania donovani. RNAcentral describes it as "gene:unknown". The record is from RNAcentral. Lineage: Eukaryota; Euglenozoa; Kinetoplastea; Trypanosomatida; Trypanosomatidae.
UGCUGCUUCCUUCAGCAGUUGCUGUAGGAUACGCCUCGCCGAACUUGCCCCUCGUCACCGGGCAACUCUUCGGCCUCUAUUACUCCUACCCCUCCCCCAAAACCCACCCCGACUCACUUUUCAUACACACAAAGGCAGCAAGGGAUAUGCGCACACCGAUAUACGCAUCCAUAGACAGAAUCGCGAUCAUCUCCAACACCUGCUGCCGAUAAGCUCCACUGCAUCACCGCCUGCACCUUCAGCAUCGAAGUCCUUUUCCUGUGCAGGAGCGUUGUUGCUGUUGUCGGGCGCAGCUCGCGUUCCGUCCACCACGCUUCCUUCUUUCCGUUCACAGCGCCUUCUCCGCCCGCAUAAACAGCGCACUGCACAGUCCUGCGGUCAUACGCGCCCGAGUUGGAAGUCCCUCCUCUCGCUCUGCCUUCCCCCGCUCUCUGCUUGUCGUCGCGCUUCUCUACGUAAUCAGGUGACGGCGGCUCGCGUGGACAGAGGAGAUUCGGUUUUGUAUACUGAUCGUGUGUCUCUGUGUAUGUGUGCGUGUGCACGAGAGCACCAGCGUACACACGGAACGAGCAGGCCGGACGUACGAAGUUUGACGCAACGGAAGCCGACGAAACCGAAAACCAAGGUGAUAAGGACGACAAACGGACCGACGCCUGCGCCUGGGACAAGAACGUUUUGAUUUUCUAGGCGUGCCAGCACUGCGCAAGAUCGAUCGUUGUGCCGAACACUACGCGUGUGCGCCUGCGUGCGCACGUGCGCAGUGCGUUGUUCUGCUUUACUUUUUUCCUGUGCGUUCUUGUCUUACUCGCACCGCUCUCUCAAUGUUCUGCGCCUAUACAGCCGCACCAAACCACGCAUAUCACCCACUAACCGACAAGCCCGAUCGCUGACCCGGUCCCUCCCUCCGAUUUACCGUCCUGCGUCGCACUUUUCGACUUGCUUCUGCUGUUGCUGGCGUUGUUGUCCUUCCACUGUCGCAGCUGCUUGCGUCGUGCAUCUUUUCGCUCGGGCGCUCGCUGCAGCGUCCUCGGUUUUCGUUGUCUUCCCCUUGCACCGCUUUUCGUUGGCUUCAUUGUGCCGCUCACUUGUGCAGCCGCACGGGCACUGCCGUUGCGUGUGCAUUGGUCGUCUUCUUAGCCGGCGCCGGUGGUGAGGGGACCACGGACUGGAUCUGUGUGGGCGUCCGCGUGCUGCAGCUCGGCUUGUGUGCGACACACUCCCGCCUGGUGCCGAACUCCCCCGACUCUCUUCCUUUUGUUCGUGUCUCGUACACGUCGAGGUGCGUCUCACGCCCUCGGCUCUGUCUCUCUAUCUGCCUGGUGCAG